UGCGAUACCCAGGCGUUUAACGCCUCUCCUCCAUAUCGAAUAAGGUCCAAACGGAAGUCCAUCUUCAGGUCUGUGGAGAAACAGCUUAAGUUUGCAUUCGACAAUGAGCAGCACAAUACUAGUACUGGAACUAAUGAUUCAACUGUCAAAGAGAUAUCACAUGUAGCAGAUUGUUUGCGUGCAACAAGAAUGGGUAUCACCUAGAGCCUAUGGUAAGAGCCAUCCGUUCCUUCUAAUUAAUGAUUCAACGGUCAAAGAGAUAUCACAUGUAGUAGAUUGUUUGCGUGCAACAAGAAUGGGUAUCACCUAGAGCCUAU
Molecule: long non-coding RNA, 317 nt
Filed under: Nicotiana benthamiana
Lineage: Eukaryota; Viridiplantae; Streptophyta; Magnoliopsida; Solanales; Solanaceae
Description: long non-coding RNA (NBEN_LNC029968)
Source: RNAcentral